Molecule: long non-coding RNA, 1357 nt
Organism: Paramormyrops kingsleyae
Lineage: Eukaryota; Metazoa; Chordata; Actinopteri; Osteoglossiformes; Mormyridae
Source: RefSeq, a predicted model, not a curated record
CAGAACUGUAGCUGUGAAAUCGUUCACUUGGAUGUCAUAGGUUGCAUUGAAUAAGUACAGCUGGCAAAAAUAUCGUCUCACUGCUGUGAUGGAAUCCCCGUCCCAUCGAGGAAGGAGGCAGAUGUGAAAUGGGAAGCUGGUCUGGGGGUCUCUGACCGGUGGGAAUCUGUAUCCGGAAGCGAGAUACCAGCUGGUGCAAAGAAGAGGAAUACGAGGAACACAUGAGCUGCGAUGGCGGACACAGCCGUGUGACGGGGAGUGACAGGAGCAGAAGGGAUGAGAUAUGGACACAGAGGCAUUGUGGGAAAACAUGAACAGGAUAGAAACACGAGACUGUGACAUAAAUAUGGUAAUAUGACAUGAACCUAGAGGUGAUGGAAACACGUGUGGAAGUGUGAGUGAAGGUAAACACAUUGAUUUGUCGUGGGCAUCAGUGGUCUUUCAGGGAGAAAAGAUUGUGAUCUUUGUCACCUGGGAUAAAACAACAGUCCCUGAGCCCCGUGUCACUAAGACAUUUAUGGACCCUUAUUUGGACACACAAAACCAUGAUUACUCAGGAUUCCCCAGCCACCAUGCUGGGCUAACACAGCUUCUUAAUGUUUUUUUCAGAGCUGUCAUCAAAGUUUCCAGAGAUCAUACCUCAUGUUAGGAAACACCGUGCAUUGUAGGAAAUCUCAGCAUGACCUCAUCUCUGAAUGUCCACCAUGAAGUAAUCUGUAGUUUGUGAUUCAGUAACUGGCUUCACCUACUUCACUCAACUCACUUAGAUGAUACGCUUAUCUGACAUCAGCGUAUUAUUGAUGAAGCAUACUUUUCAUAAAUAUAUCCUUCACGAUUCAGCAUAUCUUAAACACUAUUUUGUCUUGCACCGUCCUCAUAUUAUUAGUAGUAAUUGACACGUGUGUGUAUCUAUUUCCAUGAGUGAAGUGGCUGACUGACAGAGCACAUGGUUCUCAGUUUGGGUUUCACAGAGGGGUGAGGUGAAGCUCCACUCUUAUUUACAGGCCUGACACCUCUUAGGAGAUCAAAAAGUCUGGUGACAGGGAAGCCCCAGCGGGGGGAACCAUGAGGAGGCCAAGCUGAGAGAGGCUGCUCUCCGCUGGGUGUAAAUAUCACCCAGCGGUGGGGAUACAUUUGAGGAGAGCGUCUGCAUCCCUGAGUCCUGUGUGGACGCUUCUACCUGAUCCAAGAAGGAGUCAGACCUGCAUCUCAGACUGCUGGCUGCUUUGGCCCAGUCUUUUCACACAUCAACUAUGUACUGCUGGGUUUCUUCCAUAAUUACCUCAUUAAUUUUGACCUUUCUCCUACUGUAGUCUAAAUAUUAGCAUUGAAUAAUAUUAAAUAAGUAGCCAGUGAU